AUCCAGAUGACGAGACCCAAAUAGGACGAAAUGCGCAUUGUGGAU
Non-coding RNA from Trichobilharzia regenti, 45 nucleotides. NCBI's taxonomy places the organism in Eukaryota, Metazoa, Platyhelminthes, Trematoda, Strigeidida, Schistosomatidae. The record is from Rfam.